RNAcentral lists this ribosomal RNA (469 nucleotides) under uncultured bacterium. RNAcentral's name for it is "partial 16S ribosomal RNA". It matches the Rfam family "Bacterial small subunit ribosomal RNA", at positions 28 to 507 of the family's 1533-position model. The record is from RNAcentral.
GACGAACGCUGGCGGCGUGCUUAACACAUGCAAGUCGAACGGAAAGGCCCUGCUUUUGUGGGGUGCUCGAGUGGCGAACGGGUGAGUAACACGUGAGUAACCUGCCCUUGACUUUGGGAUAACUUCAGGAAACUGGGGCUAAUACCGGAUAGGAGCUCCUGCUGCAUGGUGGGGGUUGGAAAGUUUCGGCGGUUGGGGAUGGACUCGCGGCUUAUCAGCUUGUUGGUGGGGUAGUGGCUUACCAAGGCUUUGACGGGUAGCCGGCCUGGGAGGGUGACCGGGCCAGAUGGGGCCGGAGACGCGGCCCGCACCCCGGCGGGGGGCAGAGGGGGGAAUUAUGGAACAAGGGGGGGAGGCCGGACACAGCACCGCCGGGGGCGGGAGAAGGGCUUGGGGUUGGAAAACCGCUUCCCCUGGGAAAAAGGGGGGAGGGAGGGAAAGGGGAAAAGAGACCCGGGCUAACUAGGUC